RNAcentral lists this ribosomal RNA (2258 nucleotides) under Acinetobacter baumannii 1296252. RNAcentral's name for it is "bacterial LSU rRNA". It matches the Rfam family "Bacterial large subunit ribosomal RNA", at positions 14 to 2308 of the family's 2925-position model. The record is from RNAcentral. Lineage: Bacteria; Pseudomonadati; Pseudomonadota; Gammaproteobacteria; Moraxellales; Moraxellaceae.
AGUGCAUGUGGUGGAUGCCUUGGCAGUCAGAGGCGAUGAAAGACGUGAUAGCCUGCGAAAAGCUCCGGGGAGGCGGCAAAUAUCCUUUGAUCCGGAGAUGUCUGAAUGGGGGAACCCACCUACUUUAAGGUAGGUAUUGCAACAUGAAUACAUAGUGUUGCAAGGCGAACGAGGGGAAGUGAAACAUCUCAGUACCCUUAGGAAAAGAAAUCAAUUGAGAUUCCCUCAGUAGCGGCGAGCGAACGGGGAUCAGCCCAUUAAGUUAUGUGUGUUUUAGUGGAACGCUCUGGGAAGUGCGAACGUAGAGGGGGAUAUUCCCGUACACGAAAGGGCACACAUAAUGAUGACGAGUAGGGCGAGGCACGUGAAACCUUGUCUGAAUAUGGGGGGACCAUCCUCCAAGGCUAAAUACUCCUGACUGACCGAUAGUGAACCAGUACCGUGAGGGAAAGGCGAAAAGAACCCCUGUGAGGGGAGUGAAAUAGAUCCUGAAACCGCAUGCAUACAAGCAGUGGGAGCACCUUCGUGGUGUGACUGCGUACCUUUUGUAUAAUGGGUCAGCGACUUAUAUUCAGUAGCGAGGUUAACCGUAUAGGGGAGCCGUAGAGAAAUCGAGUCUUAAUAGGGCGUUUAGUUGCUGGGUAUAGACCCGAAACCAGGCGAUCUAUCCAUGAGCAGGUUGAAGGUUGGGUAACACUAACUGGAGGACCGAACCCACUGUCGUUGAAAAGCCAGGGGAUGACUUGUGGAUAGGGGUGAAAGGCUAAUCAAGCCUGGUGAUAGCUGGUUCUCCCCGAAAGCUAUUUAGGUAGCGCCUCGGACGAAUACCAUAGGGGGUAGAGCACUGUUUCGGCUAGGGGGUCAUCCCGACUUACCAAACCGAUGCAAACUCCGAAUACCUAUGAGUACUAUCCGGGAGACAGACUGCGGGUGCUAACGUCCGUAGUCAAGAGGAAAACAAUCCAGACCGCCAGCUAAGGCCCCAAAAUCAUAGUUAAGUGGGAAACGAUGUGGGAAGGCAUAGACAGCUAGGAGGUUGGCUUAGAAGCAGCCACCCUUUAAAGAAAGCGUAAUAGCUCACUAGUCGAGUCGGCCUGCGCGGAAGAUGUAACGGGGCUAAAACUAUGUGCCGAAGCUGCGGAUGUAUACUUUGUAUACGUGGUAGGGGAGCGUUCUGUAAGCCGAUGAAGGUGUGUUGAGAAGCAUGCUGGAGGUAUCAGAAGUGCGAAUGCUGACGUGAGUAACGACAAAACGGGUGAAAAACCCGUUCGCCGAAAGACCAAGGGUUCCAGUCCAACGUUAAUCGGGGCUGGGUGAGUCGACCCCUAAGGCGAGGCCGAAAGGCGUAGUCGAUGGGAAAAUGGUUAAUAUUCCAUUACUUCUGUGUAAUGCGAUGAGAGGACGGAGAAGGCUAAAUCAGCCUGGCGUUGGUUGUCCAGGUGAAAGGAUGUAGGCAUGUAUCUUAGGCAAAUCCGGGGUACUCUAUGCUGAGAUCUGAUAGCAAGCUGUACUUGUACAGCGAAGUGGUUGAUGCCAUGCUUCCAGGAAAAGUCUCUAAGCUUCAGUUACACAGGAAUCGUACCCGAAACCGACACAGGUGGUCAGGUCGAGUAGACCAAGGCGCUUGAGAGAACUCUGCUGAAGGAACUAGGCAAAAUGGUACCGUAACUUCGGGAGAAGGUACGCUGUUGUUGGUGAUGGAACUCGCUUCCUGAGCUGACGACAGCCGCAGAAACCAGGCCGCUGCAACUGUUUAUUAAAAACAUAGCACUCUGCAAACACGAAAGUGGACGUAUAGGGUGUGAUGCCUGCCCGGUGCUGGAAGGUUAAUUGAUGGGGUUAGCGUAAGCGAAGCUCUUGAUCGAAGCCCCAGUAAACGGCGGCCGUAACUAUAACGGUCCUAAGGUAGCGAAAUUCCUUGUCGGGUAAGUUCCGACCUGCACGAAUGGCAUAAUGAUGGCGGCGCUGUCUCCAGCAGAGGCUCAGUGAAAUCGAAAUCGCUGUGAAGAUGCAGUGUACCCGCGGCUAGACGGAAAGACCCCGUGAACCUUUACUGCAGCUUGACACUGAACUUUGACCUUACUUGUGUAGGAUAGGUGGGAGGCUUUGAAGCUGGAACGCUAGUUCCAGUGGAGCCGUCCUUGAAAUACCACCCUGGUAAUGUUGAGGUUCUAACUCUGUCCCGUGAUCCGGGACGAGGACCGUGUCUGGUGGGUAGUUUGACUGGGGCGGUCUCCUCCUAAAGAGUAACGGAGGAG